UACGGGGGGGGCAAGCGUUGUUCGGAAUUACUGGGCGUAAAGGGCUCGUAGGCGGCCAACUAAGUCGGAUGUGAAAUCCCCAGGCUUAACCUGGGAACUGCAUCCGAUACUGGAUGGCUUGAAUCCGGGAGAGGGAUGCAGAAUUCCAGGUGUAGCGGUGAUAUGCGUAGAUAUCUGGAGGAAUACCGGUGGCGAAGGCGGCAUCCUGGACCGGCAUUGACGCUGAGGAGCGAAAGCCAGGGGAGCAAACGGG
Molecule: ribosomal RNA, 253 nt
Filed under: uncultured bacterium
Lineage: Bacteria
Description: partial 16S ribosomal RNA
Rfam family: Bacterial small subunit ribosomal RNA
Source: RNAcentral